Molecule: unclassified non-coding RNA, 2312 nt
Filed under: Hevea brasiliensis (rubber tree)
Lineage: Eukaryota; Viridiplantae; Streptophyta; Magnoliopsida; Malpighiales; Euphorbiaceae
Source: RNAcentral
AUUUUCUUCUCUACCACUUGUACUUAAUUCAUCUACUUUCUUUGGCUGAAAGAUUUCCGAUGCCCUGCCUCUAAUAUGAAUACUGUUGUGUGCUAAAGAAUUUAAUCAAUUUGUUUCACUCCCAGCUUCAUCUAUAUGCAUUUCAAGUUCACACUACAAUCUUUGCCUGACUGUCCAAAUUCUUAAUGUAAUUAUGAAAAGGAAAAUGUCCUUGUGUGAGAUAGAUAGAGGUAAUUAAUAUUGCUAUUAUCGUAACUUAAGAAUUGGAUAACCAGAGUAUGGGAGAAUUUUUGAGAAAAAGAAGAAUGGAAUGAGCUCCAAGAUUCUGCAUCUUCCACCAUGGAAUCUCAUCUUAUUUCAUCUCGCUGCACCACCUGCUGGGGAAGUAUGAGAAGUAGUUGCCAAAUUGUUCGUUCAAGAACAAAAAUGAUGAAUAUUUUGAUUGAGAGGAAAAAACCACAAGAGGUCCACUCAAUUUUUCAGGGUCUUACAGAAGAAGGACAUCGGCCAACUCUUGUCACAUAUACAACUCUUUUGGCUGCAUUCACUCUCCAAAAACGUUUCAAGUCAAUACCAUUGAUUCUUUCCAAAUUGGAGCAAGAUGGACUAAAACCUGACUCCAUAUUCUUCAAUGCUAUCAUAAAUGCUUUUUCUGAAUCUGGAAAUCUUAAGGAGGCAAUGAAAGUUUUCCACAAAAUGAGAGUGAAAAAAUGUAAGCCAACAACCAGCACUUUUAAUACAUUAAUUAAAGGGUUUGGAAUUAUUGGUAAGCCUGAAGAAUCUAUGAAACUUCUCGAAAUUAUGUCUCUUGAAGAGAACGUGAAACCUAAUGACAGAACAUAUAAUAUUCUGGUCCGGGCUUGGUGUAACAGGGGCAAAAUUGCAGAAGCCUGGAAUGUAGUUCACAGAAUGUUUUCAGCUGGUGUAAAACCUGAUGUUGUUACUUACAAUACUAUAGCAACGGCUUAUGCUAGAAACAAGGAGCCUGCUAGAGCAGAGGCAAUGAUUUUUCAAAUGCAAAAUCACAAAGUGGCACCAAAUCAUCGAACAUGUGGUAUUAUCGUGGAUGGGUACUGUAAGGAGAGAAAUAUGACACAAGCAUUGAGGUUUGUUUACAGGAUGAACGAUCUUGGUGUACUUCCUAAUCUAGUAAUAUUCAACUCUCUCAUCAAAGGCUUUCUCGAUAUUACUGAUACUAGUGGUGUUGAUGAGACACUUACAUUGAUGGAAGAGUUUGGGGUGAAACCAGAUGUGGUAACAUUUAGUACUAUCAUGAAUGCAUGGAGUUCAGCUGGAAUUAUGGAUAAAUGCAAAGAGAUAUUUGAUGACAUGAUUAAGGCGAGUAUAGAACCUGAUAGCCACACAUUCAGCAUUCUAGCUAAAGGCUAUGUGCGUGCGGGAGAACCUGAAAAAGCUGAAGCCCUGUUGAAAGUUAUGGCUUCAUCGGGUGUACAUCCGAAUGUCGUAAUGUUCACAACAAUCAUCAGUGGAUGGUGCAGUGCUGGACAAAUGCAGUAUGCUAUAAGGGUAUUUGAAAGGAUGUGCAAAAUGGAUGUAUCUCCUAACUUGAAAACAUUUGAGACCCUCAUAUGGGGUUAUGGAGAAGCAAAACAACCAUGGAAGGCUGAAGAGUUCCUCCAAGUUAUGGACGAGAUGGGAGUAACUCCCACGAAGAAUACUCUUCAACUUGUUUCAGAUGCUUGGCGAGCAAUUGGUUUCCUUAACGAGGCCAAGAAAAUCUCAGGGGAUGUGGAAUAUGAUGAUAGCACAUUCUUGAAUGCUCUGGAGGACAACAACUUUGAACGAGUAGUUUAUGCUAAGGAUUCUCUCUCAAGCCUUAAGCAAGUAAGCAACCAAAAUGGGUCGAGCCCUGUCAAUAAAAGAAGCCAAAUAGUGCUGAGCAGAUACUGUUGUUUGGGCGGAAGCAUAAAUGUGGCAACUAAAUCAAUAAUGCUUCCCCAUACUUGUCGAUUCAACGUAAAAUCUUUGAUGAUAUUUGACAAGCAACGUCAAGUGAAGAUCGGAAUAUAUGGUUUUGUGAAUUCAUGUAGAAUAAUGGCCUUAAAUUAACAAACUUCCAGUUCAGUCCAUUAAGGAAAGCCUCUUGAAAUCACAAUGUAUACCAAGACUGAAGUCCUUUUUGCAUCGCAAAGGCCUGCAAUUGUACAAUUGGAUGGUGUUUUUCUUGAACAUAUAUGUAAACUGUCAUCUUAUUCAAGACUUAUAUAUCAUUAUGAAAUGUAUAUUCUUUAGGCUGAGGUGAUAUUCAUGUCGGCUGUCCAAUGUCUUGGGCUUCUAAUACUAAUAACAGA